This 253-nucleotide ribosomal RNA is filed under the name uncultured bacterium. RNAcentral describes it as "partial 16S ribosomal RNA". It matches the Rfam family "Bacterial small subunit ribosomal RNA", at positions 524 to 776 of the family's 1533-position model. The record is from RNAcentral.
UACGAAGGUGGCAAGCGUUACUCGGAAUUACUAGGCGUAAAGGGCAGGUAGGUGGUUUGGUAAGUCUGUUGUGUAAGCUCCCGGCUUAACUGGGAGAGGUCAACAGAAACUACCAGGCUUGAGUAUGGGAGAGGGUACUGGAAUUCCCGGUGUAGCGGUGAAAUGCGCAGAGAUCGGGAGGAACACCAAUGGCGAAAGCAGGUACCUGGACCAUUACUGACACUAAGCUGCGAAAGCGUGGGGAGCGAACAGG